Molecule: ribosomal RNA, 236 nt
Filed under: uncultured bacterium
Lineage: Bacteria
Description: partial 16S ribosomal RNA
Rfam family: Bacterial small subunit ribosomal RNA
Source: RNAcentral
GAUCAUGGCUCAGGACGAACGCUGGCGGCGUGCUUAACACAUGCAAGUCGAACGAGAAUCUACUGAAAGAGUUUUCGGACAAUGGAAGUAGAGGAAAGUGGCGGACGGGUGAGUAACGCGUGAGGAACCUGCCUUGAAGAGGGGGACAACAGUUGGAAACGACUGCUAAUACCGCAUGAAGCAUAGGGGUCGCAUGAUUCUUAUGCCAAAGAUUUAUCGCUUCAAGAUGGCCCUCG